This 253-nucleotide ribosomal RNA is filed under the name uncultured bacterium. Its description in RNAcentral is "partial 16S ribosomal RNA". It matches the Rfam family "Bacterial small subunit ribosomal RNA", at positions 524 to 776 of the family's 1533-position model. The record is from RNAcentral.
UACAGGGGGUGCAAACGUUGCUCGGAAUCAUUGGGCGUAAAGCGCACGUAGGCGGUUCGUUAUGUCGGAUGUGAAAGCCCUUGGCUUAACCGAGGAAGUGCAUCCGAAACUGGCGAGCUAGAGUACUAAAGAGGAUCGCGGAAUUCCCGGUGUAGAGGUGAAAUGCGUAGAGAUCGGAAAGAACACCAACGGCGAAAGCACUCUGCUGGGCCGACACUGACACUGAGAGACGAAAGCUAGGGGAGCGAAUGGG